This 2984-nucleotide ribosomal RNA is filed under the name Salmonella enterica. RNAcentral's name for it is "23S ribosomal RNA". It matches the Rfam family "Bacterial large subunit ribosomal RNA". The record is from RNAcentral. Lineage: Bacteria; Pseudomonadati; Pseudomonadota; Gammaproteobacteria; Enterobacterales; Enterobacteriaceae.
UUAAGCGACUAAGCGUACACGGUGGAUGCCCUGGCAGUCAGAGGCGAUGAAGGACGUGCUAAUCUGCGAUAAGCGCCGGUAAGGUGAUAUGAACCGUUAUAACCGGCGAUUUCCGAAUGGGGAAACCCAGUGUGACUCGUCACACUAUCAUUAACUGAAUCCAUAGGUUAAUGAGGCGAACCGGGGGAACUGAAACAUCUAAGUACCCCGAGGAAAAGAAAUCAACCGAGAUUCCCCCAGUAGCGGCGAGCGAACGGGGAGGAGCCCAGAGCCUGAAUCAGCAUGUGUGUUAGUGGAAGCGUCUGGAAAGGCGCGCGAUACAGGGUGACAGCCCCGUACACAAAAGCGCAUGUGCUGUGAGCUCGAUGAGUAGGGCGGGACACGUGGUAUCCUGUCUGAAUAUGGGGGGACCAUCCUCCAAGGCUAAAUACUCCUGACUGACCGAUAGUGAACCAGUACCGUGAGGGAAAGGCGAAAAGAACCCCGGCGAGGGGAGUGAAAAAGAACCUGAAACCGUGUACGUACAAGCAGUGGGAGCACAGGUUUACCUGUGUGACUGCGUACCUUUUGUAUAAUGGGUCAGCGACUUAUAUUCUGUAGCAAGGUUAACCGAAUAGGGGAGCCGGAGGGAAACCGAGUCUUAAUUGGGCGUUAAGUUGCAGGGUAUAGACCCGAAACCCGGUGAUCUAGCCAUGGGCAGGUUGAAGGUUGGGUAACACUAACUGGAGGACCGAACCGACUAAUGUUGAAAAAUUAGCGGAUGACCUGUGGCUGGGGGUGAAAGGCCAAUCAAACCGGGAGAUAGCUGGUUCUCCCCGAAAGCUAUUUAGGUAGCGCCUCGUGAACUCAUCUCCGGGGGUAGAGCACUGUUUCGGCUAGGGGGCCAUCCCGGCUUACCAACCCGAUGCAAACUGCGAAUACCGGAGAAUGUUAUCACGGGAGACACACGGCGGGUGCUAACGUCCGUCGUGAAGAGGGAAACAACCCAGACCGCCAGCUAAGGUCCCAAAGUCAUGGUUAAGUGGGAAACGAUGUGGGAAGGCCCAGACAGCCAGGAUGUUGGCUUAGAAGCAGCCAUCAUUUAAAGAAAGCGUAAUAGCUCACUGGUCGAGUCGGCCUGCGCGGAAGAUGUAACGGGGCUAAACCAUGCACCGAAGCUGCGGCAGCGAACGUAUCACUUAAAGCGAUUCAGCGGGUUACGAUUGACGGAGCGAAGCGACGUCAAAGCGUAUACAAAGUCGAGUCGGUUUAAGGAUACGUUCGUUGGGUAGGGGAGCGUUCUGUAAGCCUGCGAAGGUGGCCUGUGAGGGUUGCUGGAGGUAUCAGAAGUGCGAAUGCUGACAUAAGUAACGAUAAAGCGGGUGAAAAGCCCGCUCGCCGGAAGACCAAGGGUUCCUGUCCAACGUUAAUCGGGGCAGGGUGAGUCGACCCCUAAGGCGAGGCCGAAAGGCGUAGUCGAUGGGAAACGGGUUAAUAUUCCCGUACUUGGUGUUACUGCGAAGGGGGGACGGAGAAGGCUAUGUUGGCCGGGCGACGGUUGUCCCGGUUUAAGCGUGUAGGCUGGUUUUCCAGGCAAAUCCGGAAAAUCAAGGCUGAGGCGUGAUGACGAGGCACUACGGUGCUGAAGCAACAAAUGCCCUGCUUCCAGGAAAAGCCUCUAAGCAUCAGGUAACAUCAAAUCGUACCCCAAACCGACACAGGUGGUCAGGUAGAGAAUACCAAGGCGCUUGAGAGAACUCGGGUGAAGGAACUAGGCAAAAUGGUGCCGUAACUUCGGGAGAAGGCACGCUGACAUGUAGGUGAAGUGAUUUACUCAUGGAGCUGAAGUCAGUCGAAGAUACCAGCUGGCUGCAACUGUUUAUUAAAAACACAGCACUGUGCAAACACGAAAGUGGACGUAUACGGUGUGACGCCUGCCCGGUGCCGGAAGGUUAAUUGAUGGGGUCAGCGCAAGCGAAGCUCCUGAUCGAAGCCCCGGUAAACGGCGGCCGUAACUAUAACGGUCCUAAGGUAGCGAAAUUCCUUGUCGGGUAAGUUCCGACCUGCACGAAUGGCGUAAUGAUGGCCAGGCUGUCUCCACCCGAGACUCAGUGAAAUUGAACUCGCUGUGAAGAUGCAGUGUACCCGCGGCAAGACGGAAAGACCCCGUGAACCUUUACUAUAGCUUGACACUGAACAUUGAGCCUUGAUGUGUAGGAUAGGUGGGAGGCUUUGAAGUGUGGACGCCAGUCUGCAUGGAGCCGACCUUGAAAUACCACCCUUUAAUGUUUGAUGUUCUAACGUGGACCCGUAAUCCGGGUUGCGGACAGUGUCUGGUGGGUAGUUUGACUGGGGCGGUCUCCUCCUAAAGAGUAACGGAGGAGCACGAAGGUUGGCUAAUCCUGGUCGGACAUCAGGAGGUUAGUGCAAUGGCAUAAGCCAGCUUGACUGCGAGCGUGACGGCGCGAGCAGGUGCGAAAGCAGGUCAUAGUGAUCCGGUGGUUCUGAAUGGAAGGGCCAUCGCUCAACGGAUAAAAGGUACUCCGGGGAUAACAGGCUGAUACCGCCCAAGAGUUCAUAUCGACGGCGGUGUUUGGCACCUCGAUGUCGGCUCAUCACAUCCUGGGGCUGAAGUAGGUCCCAAGGGUAUGGCUGUUCGCCAUUUAAAGUGGUACGCGAGCUGGGUUUAGAACGUCGUGAGACAGUUCGGUCCCUAUCUGCCGUGGGCGCUGGAGAACUGAGGGGGGCUGCUCCUAGUACGAGAGGACCGGAGUGGACGCAUCACUGGUGUUCGGGUUGUCAUGCCAAUGGCACUGCCCGGUAGCUAAAUGCGGAAGAGAUAAGUGCUGAAAGCAUCUAAGCACGAAACUUGCCCCGAGAUGAGUUCUCCCUGAGACUUUAGGUCUCCUGAAGGAACGUUGAAGACGACGACGUUGAUAGGCCGGGUGUGUAAGCGCAGCGAUGCGUUGAGCUAACCGGUACUAAUGAACCGUGAGGCUUAACCU